AUACGGAGGAUCCGAGCGUUAUCCGGAUUUAUUGGGUUUAAAGGGUGCGCAGGCGGGAGAUUAAGUCGGCGGUGAAAUUUUGCAGCUCAACUGUAAAAGUGCCUUCCAAACUGGUUUUCUUGAGUGUAGAUGAAGUAGGCGGAAUUUGUGGUGUAGCGGUGAAAUGCAUAGAUAUCACGAAGAACUCCGAUUGAGCAGGCAGCUUACUAAACUACUACUGACGCUCAGGCACUAAGGCGUGGGGAUCAAACAGGAUUAGAUACCCGGGUAGUCAACGCAGUAAACGAUGAUUACUAGCUGUUUGCGAUACAAUGUAAGCGGCUGAGCGAAAGCGUUAAGUAAUCCACCUGGGGAGUACGUUCGCAAGAAUGAAACUCAAAUGAAUUGACGGGG
RNAcentral lists this ribosomal RNA (393 nucleotides) under uncultured bacterium. RNAcentral's name for it is "partial 16S ribosomal RNA". It matches the Rfam family "Bacterial small subunit ribosomal RNA", at positions 523 to 918 of the family's 1533-position model. The record is from RNAcentral.